RNAcentral lists this ribosomal RNA (497 nucleotides) under uncultured bacterium. Its description in RNAcentral is "partial 16S ribosomal RNA". It matches the Rfam family "Bacterial small subunit ribosomal RNA", at positions 28 to 507 of the family's 1533-position model. The record is from RNAcentral.
GAUGAACGCUGGCGGCGUGCCUAAUACAUGCAAGUCGAGCGAACGGACGAGAAGCUUGCCUCUCUGAUGUUAGCGGCGGACGGGUGAGUAACACGUGGAUAACCUACCUAUAAGACUGGGAUAACUUCGGGAAACCGGAGCUAAUACCGGAUAAUAUUUUGAACCGCAUGGUUCAAAAGUGAAAGACGGUCUUGCUGUCACUUAUAGAUGGAUCCGCGCUGCAUUAGCUAGUUGGCAAGGUAACGGCUUACCAAGGCAACGAUGCAUAGCCGACCUGAGAGGGUGAUCGGCCACACUGGAACUGAGACACGGUCCAGACUCCUACGGGAGGCAGCAGUAGGGAAUCUUCCGCAAUGGGCGAAAGCCUGACGGAGCAACGCCGCGUGAGUGAUGAAGGUCUUCGGAUCGUAAAACUCUGUUAUUAGGGAAGAACAUAUGUGUAAGUAACUGUGCACAUCUUGACGGUACCUAAUCAGAAAGCCACGGCUAACUACGUG